RNAcentral lists this ribosomal RNA (177 nucleotides) under uncultured Actinomadura sp. Its description in RNAcentral is "partial 16S ribosomal RNA". It matches the Rfam family "Bacterial small subunit ribosomal RNA", at positions 335 to 524 of the family's 1533-position model. Lineage: Bacteria; Bacillati; Actinomycetota; Actinomycetes; Streptosporangiales; Thermomonosporaceae. The record is from RNAcentral.
ACUCCUACGGGAGGCAGCAGUGGGGAAUAUUGCGCAAUGGGCGAAAGCCUGACGCAGCGACGCCGCGUGAGGGAUGACGGCCUUCGGGUUGUAAACCUCUUUCAGCAGGGACGAAGCGAAAGUGACGGUACCUGCAGAAGAAGCACCGGCUAACUACGUGCCAGCAGCCGCGGUAAU